UACAGAGGGUGCGAGCGUUAAUCGGAAUUACUGGGCGUAAAGCGCACGUAGGUGGCGACGUAAGUCGGGUGUGAAAGCCCCGGGCUCAACCUGGGAAUUGCAUUCGAGACUGCAUUGCUGGAGUACGGAAGAGGAAGGCGGAAUUCCCGGUGUAGCGGAGAAAUGCGUAGAUAUCGGGAGGAACAUCAGUGGCGAAGGCGGCCUUCUGGUCCAGUACUGACACUCAAGUGCGAAAGCGUGGGGAGCAAACAGG
RNAcentral lists this ribosomal RNA (253 nucleotides) under uncultured bacterium. Its description in RNAcentral is "partial 16S ribosomal RNA". It matches the Rfam family "Bacterial small subunit ribosomal RNA", at positions 524 to 776 of the family's 1533-position model. The record is from RNAcentral.